RNAcentral lists this ribosomal RNA (497 nucleotides) under uncultured bacterium. Its description in RNAcentral is "partial 16S ribosomal RNA". It matches the Rfam family "Bacterial small subunit ribosomal RNA", at positions 28 to 507 of the family's 1533-position model. The record is from RNAcentral.
GAUGAACGCUGGCGGCGUGCCUAAUACAUGCAAGUCGAGCGAACGGACGAGAAGCUUGCUUCUCUGAUGUUAGCGGCGGACGGGUGAGUAACACGUGGAUAACCUACCUAUAAGACUGGGAUAACUUCGGGAAACCGGAGCUAAUACCGGAUAAUAUUUUGAACCGCAUGGUUCAAAAGUGAAAGACGGUCUUGCUGUCACUUAUAGAUGGAUCCGCGCUGCAUUAGCUAGUUGGUAAGGUAACGGCUUACCAAGGCAACGAUGCAUAGCCGACCUGAGAGAGUGAUCGGCCACACUGGAACUGAGACACGGUCCAGACUCCUACGGGAGGGAGCAGUAGGGAAUCUUCCGCAAUGGGCGAAAGCCUGACGGAGCAACGCCGCGUGAGUGAUGAAGGUCUUCGGAUCGUAAAACUCUGUUAUUAGGUAAGAACAUAUGUGUAAGUAACUGUGCACAUCUUGACGGUACCUAAUCAGAAAGCCACGGCUAACUACGUG